This 253-nucleotide ribosomal RNA is filed under the name uncultured bacterium. RNAcentral describes it as "partial 16S ribosomal RNA". It matches the Rfam family "Bacterial small subunit ribosomal RNA", at positions 524 to 776 of the family's 1533-position model. The record is from RNAcentral.
GACAGAGGUGCCAAGCGUUAGGCGGAAUCACUGGGCUUAAAGCGUGUGUAGGCGGAACGUUAAGUGCCUUGUGAAAUCCCACGGCUCAACCGUGGAACUGCUGGGCAUACUGGCGUUCUUGAGCCAGCCAGGGGUCGUCGGAACAAACGGUGGAGCGGUGAAAUGCGUAGAGAUGUGGAGGAACACCAGUGGCGAAGGCGGCUCUCUGGUCUGUAACUGACGCUGAGGCGCGAAAGCGUGGGGAGCGAACAGG